CCUACGUGAGGCUGCAGUGGGGAAUAUUGGGCAAUGGGCGCAAGCCUGACCCAGCAACGCCGCGUGAAGGAAGAAGGCUUUCGGGUUGUAAACUUCUUUUUAGAGGGAAGAGCAGAAGACGGUACCUCUUGUAUAAGCCUCGGCUAACUACGUGCCAGCAGCCGCGGUAAUACGUAGGUGGCAAGCGUUGUCCGGAUUUCAUGGGUGUAAAGGGCGUGCAGCCGGGAAGACCAGUCAGAUGUGAAAUCCCGCGGCUCAACCGCGGAACUGCAUUUGAAACUGGUUUUCUUGAGUACGGGAGAGGUCAUCGGAAUGCCUUGUGUAGCGGUGAAAUGCGUAGAUAUAAGGAAGAACACCAGUGGCGAAGGCGGAUGACUGGACGACAACUGACGGUGAGGCGCGAAAGCGUGGGGAGCGAACAGGAUUGGAUACCCGGGUAGUC
Molecule: ribosomal RNA, 442 nt
Filed under: uncultured bacterium
Lineage: Bacteria
Description: partial 16S ribosomal RNA
Rfam family: Bacterial small subunit ribosomal RNA
Source: RNAcentral